UGUGAUACCGCUCCAGUAAGGGUCUAUUGAAAUACACACACUACUUAGUACAUUCUAAAGGAGAUAGAGCUGGUGCUUAAAGCAGCUUUUUCAAUGGGAGGAAUGAACUGAAGGGAAGGCUGGUCUGUCAUUAAACAGGGAUUGAUCCUCGUCUUUAAGUAAAUGUGAGGCUGCAAAUUAACUCAAGAUCACUUCAAGGGUCCCCUCUGGUAAAGAGGUGAUGCCGUGAGAUGAUUUAAAGGUGAAAUGACAAGGUUUCCACCCCUUAAAUCCAGGCUACUUUCUGACAGUGCAUCUCAGCACUGAUAUUUCAUUCACUCUGCACGCAGGAUUGGAGCUGAAGAGAAGAAGGGGACAAAAGAGUUUUUCCUAAUCCUUGUUUGCGUAGAUUAUUCUAGGAACUUAUCGGAAUCCCUGCCGUGGAAUGGAUGGAUUUAAGACAAUGUGUUAAAUCUUUUGGAUGAACACUAAUAGGGCUCUUUGCUACUGGCUGGAUUACUCAGAGAAUUACCCUGCAAUGUCCUGGUUCCUGUGUAUGUGGAUUAGUGCAGGAGCCAUGCUGCUCUGUCAAGCGAGCUUUUACGACACCAUACAGCAGCACCACCUACCCAGGCCAGGUAGGAGUGCCAUCCAGAUCCUAGAAGGAGGGACGUGUGAAGUUAUUGCAGCACACAGGUGUUGUAACAAGAAUCGUAUCGAGGAAAGGUCACAGACAGUAAAGUGCUCCUGUCUACCUGGGAAAGUAGCUGGGACGACAAGAAACAAGCCUUCGUGUGUUGAUGCAUCCAUAGUGAUCGGAAAGUGGUGGUGUGAGAUGGAACCGUGCCUGGAAGGCGAGGAGUGCAAGACAUUACCUGAUAAUUCAGGCUGGAUGUGCUCAUCUGGGAACAAAAUCAAGACCACAAGGAACACCCAGCCGUAUUCAUCUUUUUAGCUCUGGAGGCAAAACACAGAAGACCUUAAAUCCUGCAAAAUAGAGGUGCGGCAUUGCAUUUGUUUUCUUAAAGAUUCAUCCCAGGACCUAACAAAGAGCUUUUUCAAAGAAAACAAACACAAACUCUUCCAUAAGAUGGACAAAACCAUUACUACAUGGGGACAGGAACGGAUUAUGCUUCAUGUUGUGAUCUAAAGGAUGAUAUUCAAGACAAAGACUUGAAAUUGUUCUGAGGAAGAAAAAAGGUGCCAAGGAUUUUAAAAACAAGACUUGACCAUUUUGCUCAAUGGGUCCUGAACUGGUGACUUCAUCUCAUGCUAGUGGCAUUUAUAGAUCUUGUGUGGCUUUUGCAAUAUGGAAACAUGUUUUUUCCUUUAAAACAUAUACAACAGCUAUUCCAAGGAUGUACAAUCAUCACAUAUUUUUAAAAAUGUAUGUUCCAGCCAGAUGUUGAGCCUUCAAUAUAAAAAAGGAUCCUCAAUGAAUGGUCAAACUGGAUCAUAUCUGGAUCUUCUGCACAAAGAAGUUAAUGAAAUCAACAUGGAAAAACUUUUAAAAUAGAGCCUUCUGCCUCUACCCUGGUCCAUCAUGCAACAUCAGCAUGCUGGCUUUGCUUAAACAUGCCAUACAUCUUCAGUGCAUUAUAGUGGUUUAGCUGUCCAUUUUGGAUGAUUUGAAAAAGAAACAAAAACAAGGAAAAAGUUGCCUUUUUUGCAGGAAUAAGGCAGGCAAGUUCUGCCAGUAAACUGGAAAAAAAACAAUGUCAGUAUAUCUUAAGUUAUCUGUUGGCAUGGUCUGUGUGUUUCAUGGGAGCUCUCUUUGUAUUUAAAUAUUCUGUAUAUAAAAUUUCAAAACCUUCAUCCAAUUCAUGAAGUCACAAGAUGGUGAUACCAGAAUUCUUCACAAUGCCCAAAGGACAGUUUUACUAUUAAUCAGCUCUGAAUCCAGAGUGAACAUUGUGAGAGGAAUCUCUUCUCUUUGUAUUGGAUGGUUUUCCAGCAUUUGUUUUGGCCCAGAGAAGCUUUAAAACUACAACUGAAUAUAACUCAUAGCUUUUAUUUGUUGACAAGUGAAGUGUUUUAACACCAGAGGGGGUUCUCUUUCCACAUUGUAUUAUCUCUGGACAUAAAACACAGCUGAGAUAAAUCUCACAAAACACAAAAGCAUUCUUCAUUCUGAACUAGACUGCAUCAAAGCCUGGGCCUCUUCAAAAAUUAAUUUUUUAUUUUCAUUUUUUUAGCAUCUGACAUUGAUAGCAGAUGUUAUAUUGUCUUUGUUUUGUUGGUUGGUAGAUUUUACUAACAUAAAUACAAGAUGAGAAAGUGGUACUGAGAAAAAAACAAUAGCCUACAUCUUCAGAAACCUCCAUUAGAUAUACAGCCUUACCAGAAUAAAAAAGGUUUUUUUUAUAUAUAUAUACAAUUGUUGCUGUUCUCCCAUUCUUUUCUUCCAGAGAAUGCAUUAUCAUGUUUACUGCCAGAAACACCCAUAUUAUUUAGAAACAAACUUACAGUAUGUCCCUUGUUAUAGUAAUUGUGCUGUUAAAAAGACCUCCAACUUCAAUUCAGCAAUUUAUGAUGCUUAGUACAAAGCACAUAAAACAUAAACUUUAAAGAUCGUCUAUGCAUGAAUAGUCAUUCUAAAAUGUGUAACAUUCCUUUACAGAUUAACUUUGAUGGUUGCAACACUAAAGCUCACAGAGCACAAGAUUCAUCUUAACAUCACUGCCCAGAUCCCCUGACAUUCCUGACCUUUAGUGUACUGCUGGGGUGCAAUUCUUAAAUGCACGAAACCAAAGGAAAAAGAACAGUAGCUGCAAUAAACCCACGAUCCCAA
Molecule: RNA transcript, 2770 nt
Organism: Lepisosteus oculatus (spotted gar)
Lineage: Eukaryota; Metazoa; Chordata; Actinopteri; Semionotiformes; Lepisosteidae
Gene: tafa1
Gene name: TAFA chemokine like family member 1
Source: RefSeq, a predicted model, not a curated record